GACAGAGGAGCCAAGCGUUGUCCGGAUUUACUGGGCGUAAAGGGCGCUUAGGCGGCCAGCACAAGUCAGUUGUGAAAUCUCCGAGCUUAACUCGGAAAGGUCAACUGAUACUGUGCGGCUAGAGUGCGGAAGGGGCAACUGGAAUUCUUGGUGUAGCGGUGAAAUGCGUAGAUAUCAAGAGGAACACCUGCGGCGAAGGCGGGUUGCUGGGCCGACACUGACGCUGAGGCGCGAAAGCCAGGGGAGCGAACGGG
Molecule: ribosomal RNA, 254 nt
Filed under: uncultured bacterium
Lineage: Bacteria
Description: partial 16S ribosomal RNA
Rfam family: Bacterial small subunit ribosomal RNA
Source: RNAcentral